RNAcentral lists this ribosomal RNA (506 nucleotides) under uncultured bacterium. RNAcentral's name for it is "partial 16S ribosomal RNA". It matches the Rfam family "Bacterial small subunit ribosomal RNA", at positions 29 to 523 of the family's 1533-position model. The record is from RNAcentral.
AGUGAACGCUGGCGGUAGGCCUAACACAUGCAAGUCGAACGGCAGCACAGGAGAGCUUGCUCUCUGGGUGGCGAGUGGCGGACGGGUGAGGAAUACAUCGGAAUCUACUUUUUCGUGGGGGAUAACGUAGGGAAACUUACGCUAAUACCGCAUACGACCUACGGGUGAAAGCAGGGGAUCUUCGGACCUUGCGCGAUCGAAUGAGCCGAUGUCGGGUUAGCUAGUUGGCGGGGUAAAGGCCCACCAAGGCGCCGAUCCGUAGCUGGUCUGAGAGGAGGAUCAGCCACCUUGGAACUGGGACACGGUCCAGACUCAUACGGGAGGCAGCAGUGGGGAAUAUUGGAUAAUGGGCGCAAGCCUGAUCCAGCCAUACCGCGUGGGUGAAGAAGGCCUUCGGGUUGUAAAGCCCUUUUGUUGGGAAAGAAAUCCAGCUGGUUAAUACCCGGUUGGGAUGACGGUACCCAAAGAAUAAGCACCGGCUAACUUCGUGCCAGCCGCCGCCGUAA